This is a long non-coding RNA of Teleopsis dalmanni, 697 nucleotides long. RefSeq lists it as uncharacterized. The record is from RefSeq and is a predicted model, not a curated record. Lineage: Eukaryota; Metazoa; Arthropoda; Insecta; Diptera; Diopsidae. The transcript has 3 exons.
UAUAUCAUUUGAAAGAAAUUAUUACUGGAAAAAUUAAACAAGUGCCAGAGAGAUGAAUCGAUUUUUGGUGAUUAUAUAGUUGGCAUCUUGGAGAGUGAUGAAAUGCAUGAAUAAAAAGCAUUUACUUUACAGGAACUGUUAGGUGCAGUGGUGGGUGAUACAAGUUAAUUUUAGUUAAAAUGAUAUGAGGAAAAAGCACGAAAAAUAUAACCUGUUAACAAGGCACUCCAAUAUACAGAGGAAGAGCGUCAGACACAUAAUGUUGCUUGUAAAUCCUACCAAAGCUGUUACUGUACCAUAUACAAUUUGGAAUAUCAUGACAUCACGCGGCUUAUUGCUUAUUGCUUACAGCUGAUUAGGUCUAUUAAAUUAUGCGAUAUGGAGUCAAUGUCGUCACUAAAAUACUAGACCUGUCAGAUUCUGUAUCUGAUGUUUUUUUUUCGCAUUUCAUACGAAUUACUAGUGCGAUGGAUGUUAAAAAGCUCAUGGAUGAAAUUUAUUUCACAAAAUGUAUGCGAUAAAAAGAAGGAAAUUAUUUUUAAUCCAUUUAAAUGUGGGCUUAAAAUUUCGAAUUUAGAUAAAAAAGACUUAAAUGGAAAGUAAUAUUAACGGGAAGUUUAACCAAAUAUGCACCUAUCCAAGAAGAAAUGUUUAUGCAAGGCGAAUAUACAUUGUGACCGAAAAGUUUCCGGAAAUU